Molecule: ribosomal RNA, 504 nt
Filed under: uncultured bacterium
Lineage: Bacteria
Description: bacterial SSU rRNA
Rfam family: Bacterial small subunit ribosomal RNA
Source: RNAcentral
AAUGAACGCUGGCGGCGUGCCUAACACAUGCAAGUCGGAUGUGCCCGCAAGGGUGCAUGGCAGACGGGUGAGUAACGCGUGGGGAAUCUACCUCUUUGUGGGGAAUAACGCUCCGAAAGGAGUGGUAAUACCGCAUGAGACCAAUGGCUGGAAUGUUGUUGGUGAAACCUGGGGACCGCAAGGCCUGGGGCAAGGAGAGGAUCCUGCGUCUGAUUAGCUAGUUGGCGGGGUAACGGCCCACCAAGGCGACGAUCAGUAGCCGGCCUGAGAGGGUGAUCGGCCACACUGGAACUGAGACACGGUCCAGACUCCUACGGGAGGCAGCAGUGGGGAAUUUUGCGCAAUGGGCGAAAGCCUGACGCAGCAACGCCGCGUGGGUGAUGAAGGUCUUCGGAUCGUAAAACCCUGUCGUCGGGGACGAAGGUAAUUCGGUUAACAACUGAGUUGCUUGACGGUACCCGGAGAGGAAGCCCCGGCUAACUCUGUGCCAGCAGCCGCGGUAAU